UGAUCGUUAUAAUAUCAUUAUAAUGGGUUCAAGAAAUAAAUAUUUUUAUAAACCUCUUCAUUGUGUGUAGAUGGGACUGUGUUGCUCAUCUCCUCCAGGGUGUUGUUUGGGUCGAUGUUCUUUUUUAUUGCAGUGUCAUUUUCUUUUUUAGGUCUUUUAACCUUCUUUGAUGACAUCUCAAUUUUGCUUGACAUUUUUUGGAGCACGCACAGAGGUGGGAACUGAAUAAUACUUUGAUUGUAUUGGUGGCACAACUUUGUCUCCCCUCUUUGCCCGUGUCUCUUCAGACAGACUGUCAUUUCUGCUGACUGGGACAAGCAAGUCCUCCGAUAACUCUUUGGCCAAGAUGUGCUCCCUGUACCUUCCUUGGAGCGAGCUGUACAUCAUUCUGAUGAAUUUGGUCGGUCUGAUUCUUUUUUGUUUUUUCAGAAUUAUGUUUUUUGUGAUACCAAACUACCUUUCCACAUGGCAGUUUGUGUCACGGGUCUGAUUUGUAGUCUGUGGUCGGUGGUUUUGUGGAGUAGCCAGUAGCACCCCACUCCACAGAGGGAAGAUUCCAAGACGGUCAGUCAGAGGUCGGAGGAGUAGGGCGUUCACUCGCGGAUUCUUUCACUCAUCAGACACCGCAGCUGAUAGGAGAUACAAAGACAAUGAGCACAAUGUGCCUUCCACCUGCCGCUUCAACGCCUCCUCCAACGUUUGCUCUCAUUAUCAUCGUUAAGGAAAUCGUCAGGAAGGACAUCACAAAUGAAGCGUUGGUGUCUGAAAUCGUGAGACUCCUUAAUCUACAAGGACCUGGUGGUAACAGACGUCGUGGACGGACCUGACUGAAGUUCAACCACAGACAUGGCAAUUCCUGACGUUGAAUGGGAAGACAGUGGACUUCCUCCAGAUGAACACUGGAGCAUUGUUCUACCACAAGCUGAAAGCCCACUCAGUGGUGAACAAAGGACCAACUUGACCGAGGCCAUAAACCCCAGGGCAACAUCCCAGUCAUCUGGAUGUGGUCUUUACAUUGCUGCUGUUCAGUUUUGUGAGCACAUUGGUAUCUGUCUUGUGACACGUCCGAUUACCUGGAGAUGUACACAAAGAGACAAGAUGAUUUUCUGGUGACCGUUCACUUGCGGACUUAAUAGGGGUCCCUACUGGAAACACCACCGCCUUGCCCAAGAGAAACGUGUUGAAUUGAAAAGGUUCUGGGAGACGGACGAAACGUUGCUAAACUGGCCGGUGCGUCGCUAAACCACAUUUUAAACCAAACUACAUGUGCCUCUGUUAAUUAUCUGACAAAUUUUCAAAGUAGCAAUUGAAACGUCAAGCAAGCGCUAUCAGCUAGCGUCUGUUAUUGAUAUUUCCAGUAGAAGCACUAGACAAACACCACAAAAUAGAAAUAAAAACUUUGUGAACUGACCGACGCUGCAUCGCCCUGGUCGCUUGCCAUUGCCAAGUAUCGUUUUCGUGAUGAACUCAGUCAAUCUUAAGUCUGUGAGGAAAGUUGUCCGUUCCCAGGAUCUGCAGCAGUAGAUCAGUAACAAACAUCGCCGGGAGGCUUUUUUCUGCCUUUCCGGAAUUCCCAUUAUUUUUAUGUUCUGCCUCUGUUGUCUGGCCAGUCGGUUCCACAAACCCGGAAGAACCACAGAGGUGGUGGGAUGCAAGACUUUAUUGUAUAGUUUAUUCCAGAUCAACAUCAGCAUCUCGUUGUCCACGGUCAGCAUCAAUGGUCAGCAUUGUAGUGCGCUUGCCAGCAGAGGGUGCUAUUUCUUCACUCACACACCACUUCACCCUCCUUGCACUUACUGAGGAGUAAAUUUAACGCAUAAUUCAUCAUCACAUCAAUCCAUCAGCCACCUGUUGUUGGCUGUUUUUCAGUCUGCUAGUUUGUGCGCGGUGACUCCGGAACGUUCGCCCCGUUGGCAGCAGGGUGAAGAGGCUGUGUGACGGGUGGGUGUGGUCUCCUGCGAUCCAGGAGGGAUGGAAGAGGGACCCGGAUGAUCUUCUCAGCAGUCCUCACCACAUGCUGCAUGGCCAUGCGGCAGGCGAUGGUCCAUGAAACGAACCACACUGUGAUGCAGCUGGUUAGAACACUUUCGAUCGUACCUCUGUAGAAGGUGCACAUGAUGGGGGACGGAACUCCGGCUCUCUUCAGCUUCCGUUGGAAGUACAGGCGCUGCUGGGCUUUCUUGGCCAAUGCUGUGGUUUUGGUGUUCCAGGUCAGGUCCUGGGAGAUGAGAACACCCAGGAACUUGGUGCCAGUUACCUGCCCCACAGCGCCACCAGCGAUGAGAAGCAGAGGCUGCAGGACGAAUCGUCUCCUGAAGUCCACCACGAUCAGGUGCACAAUCAUACAUUAGCAGAGUGAAUAGGAGAGGACUCAAAACGCAUCCCUGAGGAGCUCCAGGGUUCAUCGUGAUGGACCUGGAGGUAUUCCCACCAACCCGAACCACCUGUGGUCGGCCCGUGAGGAAGUCCAGCAGCCAGUUGCAGAGGGACGGGUCAAGUCCCAAUUGGACCAGCUUGAGGAUGAGCUGCUGUGGGAUGAUUGUGUUGAAUGCUGAGCUGAGGUCUAUGAACAGCAUUCGGGCGCAAGAGAACUCAGAAAGGGCAGAGCGGACCCGGCCACUCUCCACAUCCACAGUGACUGUGUGGAGAGGGUCCACUACAUAAGGUUCCUGGGCGUGCAGGUCUCUGAUGAUCUCUCCUGGUCUGCAAACACCACAGUGGUGGUUAAGAAGGCUCAGCAACGUCUCCACUUCCUCAGGUUGCUCAGGAGAAACAACCUGGAGGAGAGGGUGCUGGUCACCUUCUACAGAGCCGCCAUAGAGAGCGUCCUAACGUACUGCAUCACAGCAUGGUACGCAGGGUGCUCAGCUGCAGACAGGAAAGCUCUGCAGAGAGUCAUCAACACAGCCCAGAAGAUCACUGGCUGCUCUCUGCUCAGCCUGGAGGACAUCACCUACUCCCGCUACCUUAGCAGAGCCGGCAACAUCAUCAAGGACUCGUCCCACCCCAGUAACUCUCUGUUCGACCUGCUACCGUCAGGCAGACGGUACAGGUCACACAAAACCAGGACAAAUAGACUCAGAGAAAGCUUCUUCCCAAAAGCUAUUUCAGUAGUGAACAAAAACAACAAAACCAGAUAAAACAGUCCACAAAAUUCAUUAUUACUGACCACAUUGAUCACAGUGCAAUAAAGAAAUAACUAUGUGCAAUAACAAAUCAUUCAAGUUUACAUUAAGUGCCACUUUCUGUCAUUACGCUCUUUUACUGCUGCUACUUGUGUAUAUAUUAUUAGUUCCUAUUUGUUGUUUUCUGCAUGCUUGAUUGUUUUUGAUAUAUUCUUUUUUACAUUGUUUGCACCAAGGGAGUAGCGCUCAAAUCUCGUUGUAUAUUGUACAAGGACAAUAAAGGCUAUUCUAUUCUAUGUAUGUGUGUGACAAUGUGUACGAGUAGCACCCUCAAUCCAGUCUCUAGUUAAUGUGUCUGUAUUUUGACCAAUUGGAUGUCAAGCGAUGAUAAGAUGUCAUGCUGAUGCUGAUGUAGAAUGAACCGAAGCUUGCAUCCCACUACUUCUGUGGUUCUUUCUGCUCCAGACUCUACGCCCUGAGAAGUGAAUAAUCUAGUAAGAUACCUUUCUCUUCCUCAAUGUGCUACUUGGUGAGAGCUGGAUGCAGAAUUGACUUCACAGUGAAAGAACCAAAUUUAAAGAGUGGGGGAAUGGAAGUAUACAGAAGUGCCCACAAACAGAACAAUGUUGAGAAGUGCUUGUGUUUUUAGUGAAACUGCAGUCUCUUAAUGCCAGAGAGUCAGUUAUUCUGUGAAUAAAUGACGCCAAGAGUGUGGCUAGAUGGAUAAUGGACGAUCUGGGCUUGUGGCCUCCAGACCAAAAAAAUGUAUGUUUAAGACAUCCAUACCAACAAGAUAGUCGUGGCGUAUUAUGUAUAUAUGAAAAUAUUUUAGAAUCUGGUGCAGACAACUGUGGCAAGUAGUAGAAAAAACUAACAUACAGUCAUUGUGAAACCAUUUU
Long non-coding RNA from Synchiropus splendidus (mandarinfish), 4024 nucleotides. RefSeq lists it as uncharacterized. Lineage: Eukaryota; Metazoa; Chordata; Actinopteri; Syngnathiformes; Callionymidae. The record is from RefSeq and is a predicted model, not a curated record. The transcript is spliced from 5 exons.